RNAcentral lists this long non-coding RNA (621 nucleotides) under Citrus x clementina. RNAcentral's name for it is "Citrus clementina (C. clementina) long non-coding RNA (CCLE_LNC003027)". The record is from RNAcentral. Lineage: Eukaryota; Viridiplantae; Streptophyta; Magnoliopsida; Sapindales; Rutaceae.
UAUAUUUUAUAAUAUCGAUAAAUUAUGCAUGUAUGCAUGUAUGUAUGUAUGUAUGUAUGUAUGCAUGCAUGAUAGUGUGUAAAUAUUUGAUGUAACUUUUGUUCAAUAUAUAGAUAUUAAACGGAUUAUUGGGUAACCCGAUUAUUUUUCCGUGUCGGGUUUGGGUCUCAAUAUUUUGACACGAUUAUUAAAUAGGUCGGGUUUGGGUUGACCUAAAUUUGACACGACACGAAACUGACACGAUACGAACACGACCCGAUAAUCCGUUUUGCCAGCUCUAGUUGGCAGUUGGUUUUCUGAUUUUUGGCAUCCGUUUUGACGGAAAUGGGUUUUGAUUUUCGGUUAUAUUACGGGAAUGCCCUCACAUAUUCCACCGGUUCGGUUACUGUACUGGUAUUAGUAUUGACUUCCACAAAACGGCUGCGUCUAAGUUGCUGCCGUAGUAACGUAUUCCAAUUUUUUUUUCAAUUUUGCCCUGUCACCAUUUGUUUGAAAUGGACAAAAUCCAAAUGACUAUAAAUAUUGCACAAUAAGAUGCAAAAAUGCAGCAUCUUUAGCUGAUUUUGAGCACCACCAAAAAAGACUUUUCUAAUUUAAUUUUUUAAAUAUUUGGAGUGAAAA